RNAcentral lists this ribosomal RNA (508 nucleotides) under uncultured bacterium. RNAcentral's name for it is "bacterial SSU rRNA". It matches the Rfam family "Bacterial small subunit ribosomal RNA", at positions 28 to 536 of the family's 1533-position model. The record is from RNAcentral.
GACGAACGCUGGCGGCGUGCCUAAUACAUGCAAGUCGAGCGGGGCUGUUUGCUGGAAGCCUUCGGGCGGAAAGCUUGCAGCCUAGCGGCGGACGGGUGAGUAACGCGUGGGUAACCUGUCCUGAAGUACGGGAUAACAGUUCGAAAGGGCUGCUAAUACCGUAUGUGGUCAAGGGGAGUUCGCUUUCUUUGACUAAAGGUGAAAACCGCUUCAGGGUGGGCCCGCGUCCCAUUAGCUAGUUGGUAGGGUAAUGGCCUACCAAGGCGACGAUGGGUAGCCGGCCUGAGAGGGUGACCGGCCACACUGGGACUGAGACACGGCCCAGACUCCUACGGGAGGCAGCAGUAGGGAAUCUUGCGCAAUGGGGGAAACCCUGACGCAGCGACGCCGCGUGAGUGAAGAAGGCCUCGGUCGUAAGCUCUGUCCUCCGGGAACGAGUAAUGACGGUACCGGAGGAGGAAGCCCGGGCCUAACUAACGUGCCAGCAGCCGCGGUAAAUAAGCGUACU